GCAAGUCGAACGUGAACGCUCUUCGGAUUGAGUAGAGUGGCGGACGGGUGAGUAACGCGUAGGAAUCUACCUAGUAGUGGGGGACAACUUGGUGAAAUCCAGGCUAAUACCGCAUACGCCCUAUGGGGGAAAGUGUGGGAUCUUCGGACCACGCGCUAUUGGAUGAGCCUGCGUAAGAUUAGCUAGUUGGUGGGGUAAAGGCCUACCAAGGCGACGAUCUUUAGCUGGUCUGAGAGGAUGAUC
This 243-nucleotide ribosomal RNA is filed under the name uncultured bacterium. RNAcentral describes it as "partial 16S ribosomal RNA". It matches the Rfam family "Bacterial small subunit ribosomal RNA", at positions 57 to 305 of the family's 1533-position model. The record is from RNAcentral.